UUGGAGGGCAAGUCUGGUGCCAGCAGCCGCGGUAAUUCCAGCUCCAAUAGCGUAUAUUAAAGUUGUUGCAGUUAAAAAGCUCGUAGUUGAAUUUCGGGAUCAAUGUUUCGGUCAUGCCGUUGGUAUGUACUGAUAUUAUUGGUUUCUCACCUUCUAAAGAACCGUAAUGCCAUUAAUUUGGUGUCACGGGGAAUUAGGACUGUUACCUUGAAAAAAUUAGAGUGUUUAAAGCAGGCUCACGCUUGAAUACAUUAGCAUGGAAUAAUGAAAUAGGACAUCCGAUUCUAUUUUGUUGGUUUCUAGGAUCGAUGUAAUGAUUAAUAGGGAUAGUUGGGGGCAUUAGUAUUCAAUUGUCAGAGGUGAAAUUCUUGGAUUUAUUGAAGACUAACUACUGCGAAAGCAUUUGCCAAGGAUGUUUUCAUUAAUCAAGAACGAAAGUUAGGGGAUCGAAGACGAUCAGAUACCGUCGUAGUCUUAACCAUAAACUAUACCGACUAGGGAUCGGAUGAUGUUAAUUUUUUAAUGACUCAUUCGGCGCCUUAUGGGAAACCAAAG
This 555-nucleotide ribosomal RNA is filed under the name uncultured Glomus. Its description in RNAcentral is "SSU rRNA". It matches the Rfam family "Eukaryotic small subunit ribosomal RNA", at positions 548 to 1103 of the family's 1831-position model. Lineage: Eukaryota; Fungi; Glomeromycota; Glomeromycetes; Glomerales; Glomeraceae. The record is from RNAcentral.